AUCACUUCUUGGCCUUUUGGCUAAGAUCAAGUGUAAACUUGUGCACAUUCAUUUGUUCUCAAUUUAUUAAGAAUUCCUCUCUAGAACAUUAGUAUACUUCAUGGCAAGACUACUGUCUUGAAUUAUGAAACCAUCA
Molecule: small nuclear RNA, 136 nt
Filed under: Pteropus alecto (black flying fox)
Lineage: Eukaryota; Metazoa; Chordata; Mammalia; Chiroptera; Pteropodidae
Description: U2 spliceosomal RNA
Rfam family: U2 spliceosomal RNA
About the family: U2 is a small nuclear RNA (snRNA) component of the spliceosome (involved in pre-mRNA splicing).
Source: Rfam by way of RNAcentral